AUUGAACGCUGGCGGCAGGCCUAACACAUGCAAGUCGAGCGGUAGCACAAGAGAGCUUGCUCUCUGGGUGACGAGCGGCGGACGGGUGAGUAAUGUCUGGGAAACUGCCUGAUGGCGGGGGAUAACUAGUGGAAACGGUAGCUAAUACCGCAUACCGUCGCAAGACCAAAGUGGGGGACCUUCGGGCCUCACGCCAUCAGAUGUGCCCAGGUGGGAUUAGCUGGUAGGUGGGGUAACGGCUCACCUAGGCGACGAUCCCUAGCUGGUCUGAGAGGAUGACCAGCCACACUGGAACUGAGACACGGUCCAGACUCCUACGGGAGGCAGCAGUGGGGAAUAUUGCACAAUGGGCGCAAGCCUGAUGCAGCCAUGCCGCGUGUGUGAAGAAGGCCUUCGGGUUGUAAAGCACUUUCAGCGAGGAGGAAGGGUAAUGUGUUAAUAAGACAUUGCAUUGACGUUACUCGCAGAAGAAGCACCGGCUAACUCCGUGC
Molecule: ribosomal RNA, 491 nt
Filed under: uncultured bacterium
Lineage: Bacteria
Description: bacterial SSU rRNA
Rfam family: Bacterial small subunit ribosomal RNA
Source: RNAcentral